UGGUUGGGUUAACGUCCCAUAACGAGCGCAACCCCUACCUUUAGUUGCCAUCAGGUAAUGCGUGGGGACUACGUAAAGGAACUGCCUACGCAAGUAGUGAGGAAGGCGGGGGUGACGUCAAAUCAGCACGGCCCUUACGUCCAGGGCUACACACGUGCUACAAUGGCCGAUACAGAGGGCAGCUACCUGGUGACAGGAUGCAAAUCUCCAAAGUCGGUCUCAGUUCGGAUCGGAGUCUGCAACCCGACUCCGUGAAGUUGGAUUCGCUAGUAAUCGCGCAUCAGCCAUGGCGCGGUGAAUACGUUCCCGGGCCUU
RNAcentral lists this ribosomal RNA (315 nucleotides) under uncultured Sphingobacteriales bacterium. RNAcentral describes it as "bacterial SSU rRNA". It matches the Rfam family "Bacterial small subunit ribosomal RNA", at positions 1072 to 1382 of the family's 1533-position model. The record is from RNAcentral. Lineage: Bacteria; Pseudomonadati; Bacteroidota; Sphingobacteriia; Sphingobacteriales.